GAUGAACGCUGGCGGCGUGCCUAAUUCAUGCAAGUCUAUUGAACAGACGAGGAGCUUGCUCCUCUGACGUUAGCUGCGGAAGGGUGAGUAACACGUGGCUAACCUACCUAUACGACUGGGAUAACUUCGGGAAACCGGAGCUAAUACCUGAUCAUAUAUUGAACCGCAUGGUUCAAUAGUGAAAGCCGGUUUUCCUGUCCCUUAUAGAUGGACCCGCGCCGCAUUAGCUAGUUGGUAAGGUAACGGCUUACCAAGGCAACGAUGCGUAGCCGACCUGAGAGGGUGAUCGAGCACACUGGAACUGAGAAACGGUCCAGACUCCUACGGGAGGCAACGGUCAGGAAUCUUGAGCAAUGGGCGAAAGCCUGAAGGUACAACUGGGCAAAAGGGAGGAGGGGCUUCGGAUGAUAAAACACUGUUAGUAGGGAAGAACAAAUGUGUAAGUAAAUAUGCACGUGUUGACGGUACCUAAUCAGAAAGCCGGGGAUAACUACGAG
Molecule: ribosomal RNA, 497 nt
Filed under: uncultured bacterium
Lineage: Bacteria
Description: partial 16S ribosomal RNA
Rfam family: Bacterial small subunit ribosomal RNA
Source: RNAcentral